Molecule: long non-coding RNA, 336 nt
Filed under: Gossypium raimondii (Peruvian cotton)
Lineage: Eukaryota; Viridiplantae; Streptophyta; Magnoliopsida; Malvales; Malvaceae
Description: long non-coding RNA (GRAI_LNC002806)
Source: RNAcentral
AAAGAAAUAAGAAAGGCUUUUAGGAUAAGUGUGGCGUAGAAGAAAAGAAGAUGAGUAGAAAUAGGUAUCGAACUUACAAACUCGAAACACUAAAUUUUUUUUUUAAUAGAGUGAAAUUUCACUAAGAAGGAUAUAAAAGGGUGUAGAAUGUGAUUUUGAAAAUUUUUUUGUUGAAGUGUCUCCAGACUCUUUUUUUUUUACGGAUCUUUCACGUUCUUUUCGUCCGCACCUAGACCGUAUGCAAUUUUUUUUUCUUUUCAAUUUUUUUUGAUUUUUUUUUCGAUUUUGAAUUUUUUUUUCGAACUCUUUUUUUUUACGUACCUAUUUCAAAUUGAC